AUUGAACGCUGGCGGCAGGCUUAACACAUGCAAGUCGAACGAUGACGGUACUGCUUGCAGUACCUAAUUAGUGGCGGACGGGUGAGUAACGCUUAGGAAUCUACCUAAUAAUGGGGGAUAGCCCGGGGAAACUCGGAUUAAUACCGCAUACGUCUUACGAGAGAAAGGGGGCUACUUGUAGCUCUCGUUAUUAGAUGAGCCUAAGUUAGAUUAGCUAGAUGGUGGGGUAAAGGCCUACCAUGGCGACGAUCUAUAGCUGGUCUGAGAGGAUGAUCAGCCACACCGGAACUGAGACACGGUCCGGACUCCUACGGGAGGCAGCAGUGGGGAAUAUUGGACAAUGGGGGCAACCCUGAUCCAGCCAUGCCGCGUGUGUGAAGAAGGCCUUUUGGUUGUAAAGCACUUUAAGUAGCGAAGAAGACCCCAUGGUUAAUACCCAUGGGCGAUGACAUUAACUACAGAAUAAGCACCGGCUAACUCUGUGCCAGCAGCCGCGGUAAUACAGAGGGUGCGAGCGUUAAUCGGAAUUACUGGGCGUAAAGCGAGCGUAGGUGGUCUAAUAAGUCAGAUGUGAAAUCCCCGGGCUCAACCUGGGAACUGCAUCUGAAACUGUUAAACUAGAGUAGGUGAGAGGGGAGUAGAAUUUCAGGUGUAGCGGUGUGCGUAGAUAUCUGAAGGAAUACCGAUGGCGAAGGCAGCUCCCUGGCAUCAUACUGACACUGAGGCUCGAAAGCGUGGGUAGCAAACAGG
Molecule: ribosomal RNA, 750 nt
Filed under: uncultured bacterium
Lineage: Bacteria
Description: bacterial SSU rRNA
Rfam family: Bacterial small subunit ribosomal RNA
Source: RNAcentral